UACGUAGGGUGCGAGCGUUAAUCGGAAUUACUGGGCGUAAAGCGUGCGCAGGCGGUUUGUUAAGUCUGAUGUGAAAGCCCCGGGCUCAACCUGGGAACUGCAUUGGAAACUGGCAAGCUCGAGUAUGGCAGAGGGGGGUGGAAUUCCGCGUGUAGCAGUGAAAUGCGUAGAGAUGUGGAGGAACACCGAUGGCGAAGGCAGCCCCCUGGGCCGACACUGACGCUCAUGCACGAAAGCGUGGGGAGCAAACAGG
This 253-nucleotide ribosomal RNA is filed under the name uncultured bacterium. RNAcentral's name for it is "partial 16S ribosomal RNA". It matches the Rfam family "Bacterial small subunit ribosomal RNA", at positions 524 to 776 of the family's 1533-position model. The record is from RNAcentral.